AGUCGAACGAACUUAACCAUUAGUUUACUAGUGGAGCGGUUAGUGGCGGACUGGUGAGUAACACGUAAGCAACCUGCCUAUCAGAGGGGAACAACAGUUAGAAAUGACUGCUAAUACCGCAUAUGCCUUGAGUAUCACAUGGUACAAAAGGGAAAGGGGCAAUCCGCUGAUAGAUGGGCUUGCGUCUGAUUAGAUAGUUGGUGAGGUAACGGCCCACCAAGUCGACGAUCAGUAGCCGGACUGAGAGGUUGAACGGCCACAUUGGGACUGAGAUACGGCCCAGACUCCUACGGGAGGCAGCAGUCGGGAAUAUUGCGCAAUGGAGGAAACUCUGACGCAGUGACGCCGCGUGCAGGAAGAAGGUUUUCGGAUUGUAAACUGCUUUAGACAGGGAAGAAACAAGACAGUACCUGUAGAAUAAGCUCCGGCUAACUACGUGCCAGCAGCCGCGGUAAUACGUAGGGAGCAAGCGUUAUCCGGAUUUAUUGGGUGUAAAGGGUGCGUAGACGGGAAAUUAAAUUAGUUGUGAAAUCCCUCGGCUUAACUGAGGAACUGCAACUAAAACUGAUUUUCUUGAGUGCUGGAGAGGAAAGUGGAAUUCCUAGUGUAGCGGUGAAAUGCGUAGAUAUUAGGAGGAACACCAGUGGCGAAGGCGACUUUCUGGACAGUAACUGACGUUGAGGCACGAAAGUGUGGGGAGCAAACAGGAUUAGAUACCCUGGUAGUCCACACCGUAAACGAUGGAUACUAGGUGUAGGGUGUGAUAA
RNAcentral lists this ribosomal RNA (767 nucleotides) under uncultured bacterium. Its description in RNAcentral is "bacterial SSU rRNA". It matches the Rfam family "Bacterial small subunit ribosomal RNA", at positions 60 to 835 of the family's 1533-position model. The record is from RNAcentral.